This 2901-nucleotide ribosomal RNA is filed under the name Klebsiella pneumoniae. RNAcentral's name for it is "23S ribosomal RNA". It matches the Rfam family "Bacterial large subunit ribosomal RNA". The record is from RNAcentral. Lineage: Bacteria; Pseudomonadati; Pseudomonadota; Gammaproteobacteria; Enterobacterales; Enterobacteriaceae.
GGUUAAGCGACUAAGCGUACACGGUGGAUGCCCUGGCAGUCAGAGGCGAUGAAGGACGUGCUAAUCUGCGAAAAGCGUCGGUAAGGUGAUAUGAACCGUUAUAACCGGCGAUGUCCGAAUGGGGAAACCCAGUGCAAUUCGUUGCACUAUCGUUAACUGAAUACAUAGGUUAACGAGGCGAACCGGGGGAACUGAAACAUCUAAGUACCCCGAGGAAAAGAAAUCAACCGAGAUUCCCCCAGUAGCGGCGAGCGAACGGGGAGCAGCCCAGAGUCUGAAUCAGCUUGUGUGUUAGUGGAACGGUCUGGAAAGUCCGACGGUACAGGGUGAUAGUCCCGUACACCAAAAUGCACAGGUUGUGAACUCGAAGAGUAGGGCGGGACACGUGGUAUCCUGUCUGAAUAUGGGGGGACCAUCCUCCAAGGCUAAAUACUCCUGACUGACCGAUAGUGAACCAGUACCGUGAGGGAAAGGCGAAAAGAACCCCGGCGAGGGGAGUGAAAAAGAACCUGAAACCGUGUACGUACAAGCAGUGGGAGCACCUUCGGGUGUGACUGCGUACCUUUUGUAUAAUGGGUCAGCGACUUAUAUUCUGUAGCAAGGUUAACCGUAUAGGGGAGCCGCAGGGAAACCGAGUCUUAACUGGGCGUUAAGUUGCAGGGUAUAGACCCGAAACCCGGUGAUCUAGCCAUGGGCAGGUUGAAGGUUGGGUAACACUAACUGGAGGACCGAACCGACUAAUGUUGAAAAAUUAGCGGAUGACUUGUGGCUGGGGGUGAAAGGCCAAUCAAACCGGGAGAUAGCUGGUUCUCCCCGAAAGCUAUUUAGGUAGCGCCUCGUGAACUCAUCUUCGGGGGUAGAGCACUGUUUCGGCUAGGGGGUCAUCCCGACUUACCAACCCGAUGCAAACUACGAAUACCGAAGAAUGUUAUCACGGGAGACACACGGCGGGUGCUAACGUCCGUCGUGAAGAGGGAAACAACCCAGACCGCCAGCUAAGGUCCCAAAGUCAUGGUUAAGUGGGAAACGAUGUGGGAAGGCACAGACAGCCAGGAUGUUGGCUUAGAAGCAGCCAUCAUUUAAAGAAAGCGUAAUAGCUCACUGGUCGAGUCGGCCUGCGCGGAAGAUGUAACGGGGCUAAACCAUGCACCGAAGCUGCGGCAGCGACACUAUGUGUUGUUGGGUAGGGGAGCGUUCUGUAAGCCUGCGAAGGUGACCUGUGAGGGUUGCUGGAGGUAUCAGAAGUGCGAAUGCUGACAUAAGUAACGAUAAAGCGGGUGAAAAGCCCGCUCGCCGGAAGACCAAGGGUUCCUGUCCAACGUUAAUCGGGGCAGGGUGAGUCGACCCCUAAGGCGAGGCCGAAAGGCGUAGUCGAUGGGAAACAGGUUAAUAUUCCUGUACUUGGUGUUACUGCGAAGGGGGACGGAGAAGGCUAUGUUAGCCGGGCGACGGUUGUCCCGGUUUAAGCAUGUAGGCUGGUUAUCCAGGCAAAUCCGGAUAAUCAAGGCUGAGGUGUGAUGACGAGGCACUACGGUGCUGAAGUAACAAAUGCCCUGCUUCCAGGAAAAGCCUCUAAGCAUCAGGUAACAUCAAAUCGUACCCCAAACCGACACAGGUGGUCAGGUAGAGAAUACCAAGGCGCUUGAGAGAACUCGGGUGAAGGAACUAGGCAAAAUGGUGCCGUAACUUCGGGAGAAGGCACGCUGGUGUGUAGGUGAAGUCCCUGCGGAUGGAGCUGAGACCAGUCGAAGAUACCAGCUGGCUGCAACUGUUUAUUAAAAACACAGCACUGUGCAAACACGAAAGUGGACGUAUACGGUGUGACGCCUGCCCGGUGCCGGAAGGUUAAUUGAUGGGGUUAUCCGUAAGGAGAAGCUCUUGAUCGAAGCCCCGGUAAACGGCGGCCGUAACUAUAACGGUCCUAAGGUAGCGAAAUUCCUUGUCGGGUAAGUUCCGACCUGCACGAAUGGCGUAAUGAUGGCCAGGCUGUCUCCACCCGAGACUCAGUGAAAUUGAACUCGCUGUGAAGAUGCAGUGUACCCGCGGCAAGACGGAAAGACCCCGUGAACCUUUACUAUAGCUUGACACUGAACAUUGAGCCUUGAUGUGUAGGAUAGGUGGGAGGCUUUGAAGCGUGGACGCCAGUCUGCGUGGAGCCAACCUUGAAAUACCACCCUUUAAUGUUUGAUGUUCUAACGUUGGCCCCUGACCGGGGUUGCGGACAGUGUCUGGUGGGUAGUUUGACUGGGGCGGUCUCCUCCCAAAGCGUAACGGAGGAGCACGAAGGUUAGCUAAUCCUGGUCGGACAUCAGGAGGUUAGUGCAAUGGCAUAAGCUAGCUUGACUGCGAGCGUGACGGCGCGAGCAGGUGCGAAAGCAGGUCAUAGUGAUCCGGUGGUUCUGAAUGGAAGGGCCAUCGCUCAACGGAUAAAAGGUACUCCGGGGAUAACAGGCUGAUACCGCCCAAGAGUUCAUAUCGACGGCGGUGUUUGGCACCUCGAUGUCGGCUCAUCACAUCCUGGGGCUGAAGUAGGUCCCAAGGGUAUGGCUGUUCGCCAUUUAAAGUGGUACGCGAGCUGGGUUUAGAACGUCGUGAGACAGUUCGGUCCCUAUCUGCCGUGGGCGCUGGAGAAUUGAGGGGGGCUGCUCCUAGUACGAGAGGACCGGAGUGGACGCAUCACUGGUGUUCGGGUUGUCAUGCCAAUGGCACUGCCCGGUAGCUAAAUGCGGAAGAGAUAAGUGCUGAAAGCAUCUAAGCACGAAACUUGCCCCGAGAUGAGUUCUCCCUGAGACUUUAAGUCUCCUGAAGGAACGUUGAAGACGACGACGUUGAUAGGCCGGGUGUGUAAGCGCAGCGAUGCGUUGAGCUAACCGGUACUAAUGAACCGUGAGGCUUAACCUU